Molecule: ribosomal RNA, 458 nt
Filed under: uncultured bacterium
Lineage: Bacteria
Description: partial 16S ribosomal RNA
Rfam family: Bacterial small subunit ribosomal RNA
Source: RNAcentral
UCUACGGGAUGCUGCAGUGGGGAAUAUUGCACAAUGGGGGAAACCCUGAUGCAGCGACGCCGCGUGAGUGAAGAAGUAUUUCGGUAUGUAAAGCUCUAUCAGCAGGGAAGAAAUAGCGACCUUUGGGUCGCCAGACGGUACCUGACUAAGAAGCCCCGGCUAACUACGUGCCAGCAGCCGCGGUAAUACGUAGGGGGGAAGCGUUAUCCGGAUUUACUGGGUGGAAGGGGAGCGUAGACGGCAGCACAAUGCUGAAGUGAAAUGCCGGGGCUUAACCCCGGAACUGCUUUUGAAACUGUGCAGCUAGAGUGCAGGAGAGGUAAGUGGAAUUCCUGGUGUAGCGGUGAAAUGCGUAGAUAGUAGGAGGAACACAAGUGGCGAAGGCGGCUUACUGGACUGUAACUGACGUUGAGGCUCGAAAGCGUGGGGAGCAAACAGGAUUAGAUACCCGAGUAGUC